Molecule: ribosomal RNA, 494 nt
Filed under: uncultured bacterium
Lineage: Bacteria
Description: bacterial SSU rRNA
Rfam family: Bacterial small subunit ribosomal RNA
Source: RNAcentral
AGAAUUUGAUCUUGGUCAGGACGAACGCUGGCGGCGUGCUUCAUACAUGCAAGUCGAACGAGAAGCUGACUUCGGUCAGUGGAAAGUGGCGGACGGGUGAGUAAUAUGUAGAGAAUCUGCCCUUGAGUGGGGGACAACAGAGGGAAACUUCUGCUAAUACCCCAUAUGAGCUAACUUGAAAUAGUUAUCUUGAAAACUCCGGUGCUCAAGGAUGAGUCUGCAUCUGAUUAGCUAGUUGGCGGUGUAAUGGACCACCAAGGCGACGAUCAGUAGCUGGUUUGAGAGGAUGAUCAGCCACAAUGGGACUGAGACACGGCCCAUACUCCUACGGGAGGCAGCAGGUAGGGUAAUUUUGCGCAAUGGGACCGAAAGCCUGACGCAGCAACGCCGCGUGAACGAUUAAGCCCGUUCGGGGUGUAAAGUUCUGUCAGUAGGGACGUAAUUUUGACGGUACCUACAGAGGAAGCACCGGCUAACUCCGUGCCAGCCGCCGC